Long non-coding RNA from Arvicola amphibius (Eurasian water vole), 1364 nucleotides. RefSeq lists it as uncharacterized. NCBI's taxonomy places the organism in Eukaryota, Metazoa, Chordata, Mammalia, Rodentia, Cricetidae. The transcript is spliced from 3 exons. The record is from RefSeq and is a predicted model, not a curated record.
GGGGAGGGGAACUGAGAUUGCCUCGCUGGGGAGGUGACCCGGUGAUGGGUCCCAGGAUAAGACCGAAGGAAUAUAGACUAUGGACUUAAGGACGUGGAGUGUGCACCCAGGACAUCCAGGACCCAGAGACCUGAAAGUUGUCGUUGGAAAAAAGUGGGAGGACCUUGGGAGCUGCAGGAACGGGGAAUUGAGCAGAAAUGUGCGUCUGCCCACAGCUGCACCAUCGACCCUCUCCCCUUUUUGAAAAGGCUGCGGAAAAGUUGAGGAUCUUCUCGUCGUUGUUCGGUAGUGACACAGACUAAAGCAGCAAAGCUGAAGAAAAGGCCCGGGAGGGGCCACUUUGCCUCCUGCUGGGGCCCUUCGCAUUUGCGGCCCCACCCCCACCCAUCUCCCCUCCACCUCCUGGCUUCCAUUUUUUGGGCCAGAGGCCAGGCUUGUGUACUGGACUGUGAGAGCAAGGAGGAGGCUAGGGAAGAGGCCUGAAGGGGCGGUUCCUACGCCAUAGGUCGGGAUGCCCUGCAGCCUGGAGACCAGACCAUUGAGACUCACAAAUGCGCCUCUGUGUUCCCCAACUAAGGUCUAGGUUGGGGGCCCGGGAUGAGGACAGUACCCUGGUUGUGGGUUUGGUUGGAGGAGGUUAAGAGACCUUCCAUAGUGUCCUUCCUCGGAACCUACCGCCCAGGCUAGGAGACACUGCCCCUUUCACCCACUGCAGCCCCAGGGUGGAGUGCUGGACGUGAGGGCGGAAGUCCCUCCCCGUCCUGGGACGUGCCUGCUGGCCCUGCGGCCAGGGCCUCUCUCCUUCCUUGGCUGCCCUCGUGGACGCCGGGUGAGAGGCUCCACAAGCGGCAUUGACCCUAUUCCACCAGGUCUCAGGAGCCCCUCCACAGUCCCGCCCUAACCUUAAGCAUGUUUCCGAGGAGCCAUCUCCCCUUUUUCCUCAUGCCUAUCAUCUGCCAGUACUGUUCCCCCACCACAGACAUAAGAGUGGAACUUCUCACUAGUUGUGCAAGAUGAAGCAAUGCGGAUCAUGAAGAUCCAAAGACAGCCUCAGGGUACCUGGGCUUCCUUAUCUUCUCUCUGGACUGAUAACCCUCAAUCUGCUGCCUGAAUCUGGGCGAAGGUGAAAGAUGAAACAGAGACCAGCAGAGGACAAAAUACUUAAAAGUAUAUAAAAACAUUUAUUCUUAAAAAACACGAUUGGUUAAGUAUCUCUUUAGAAGUGAAAGCAGCCAUCAGAUGGGCUCUCAGAGAAAGACACUGUAUACAUGUUAAAAACAAAGAGGCAGCAAACAUUUUUACAAGGGAGGAACUGAAUUCAAAGGCAUCCAAUAAGAUACCCUGCACGGCAGGGAUGGGAAUAG